AGAGUUUGAUCCUGGCUCAGAGCGAACGUUAGCGGCGGGCUUAAUACAUGCAAGUCGAGCGAGAAAGGGUCUUCGGACCUGAGUACAGCGGCGUCCGGGUGCGUAACACGUAGGCAAUCUACCCUUCAGUGGGGGAUAACUCUCCGAAAGGAGGGCUAAUACCGCGUAAGACCACGACCACUACGGUGGAUGUGGGAAAAGGCGGCCUCUCCAUGGAAGCUGUCGCUGAAGGAUGAGCCUGCGGCCCAUCAGCUUGUUGGUAGGGUAACGGCCUACCAAGGCGAAGACGGGUAGCUGGUCUGAGAGGAUGAUCAGCUACACUGGCACUGACACACGGGCCAGACUCCUACGGGAGGCAGCAGUAGGGAAUAUUGGACAAUGGGCGAAAGCCUGAUCCAGCCACGCCGCGUGAGUGAUGAAGGCCUUCGGGUUGUAAAGCUCUAUGGGAGAGGGAAGAAAAAGGUUAGGAACAAUACCCUAACCCUUGACGGUACCUUUCCAGAAAGCACCGGCUAACUCUGUGCCAGCAGCCGCGGUAAGACAGAGGGUGCAAACGUUGCUCGGAAUUACUGGGCGUAAAGCGCGUGUAGGCGGAUCAGGCAGUCGGGUGUGAAAUCCCUGGGCUCAACCUAGGAACUGCAUCCGAAACUUCUGAUCUAGAGUACUGGAGAGGGAAGCGGAAUUCU
This 686-nucleotide ribosomal RNA is filed under the name uncultured Pseudomonadota bacterium. RNAcentral's name for it is "bacterial SSU rRNA". It matches the Rfam family "Bacterial small subunit ribosomal RNA", at positions 8 to 670 of the family's 1533-position model. The record is from RNAcentral. Lineage: Bacteria; Pseudomonadati; Pseudomonadota.